Molecule: long non-coding RNA, 350 nt
Organism: Biomphalaria glabrata
Lineage: Eukaryota; Metazoa; Mollusca; Gastropoda; Planorbidae
Exons: 2
Source: RefSeq, a predicted model, not a curated record
AAUGCCUUGUGACUGUGCCAUGGGCGGCUUCAGCUUCAAUUGUUUUGCCAUCAGGACAGACAAGGACACUGGUCAUCAAACCAAGUGACCCAUAGCCUGCAAAUAUGUAGGAUAGUGAUCUAUAAAAUACAAUAGCAGUGAAUCUUAAAACUAUAAAUACAGAGUUGAAAACUUAGGGAUAUUACAAUGCCAGAACAAACUUGAAAAACUCACCCUGUGCAACAAUGUCGGAUUGCACAUCACCAUCGUAAUUCUUGCAAGCCCAGACAAAGCCUCCAGAUGACUUCAAACAUUGGGCCACCAUGUCAUCAAUCAACCUGUGCUCAUACCAGAUCUUCUUCUUCUCAAAC